GCGGUAGUGGGCUAGUGGUUCAUGCCGUUGCUUUCCCAUUACUUCACAGUCAUGCUCCGGCAUGCUCCUAGUAACAUGGACAAAGCAGAAAUCGCAGGUUCGAACCCUGCCUGCCGCA
Taxawa tesnikishii (nom. ined.) is the source of this 118-nucleotide non-coding RNA. NCBI's taxonomy places the organism in Eukaryota, Fungi, Ascomycota, Dothideomycetes, Dothideales. The record is from the annotation of a GenBank genome assembly.